Molecule: transfer RNA, 85 nt
Filed under: Felis catus (domestic cat)
Lineage: Eukaryota; Metazoa; Chordata; Mammalia; Carnivora; Felidae
Rfam family: tRNA
About the family: Transfer RNA (tRNA) molecules are approximately 80 nucleotides in length. Their secondary structure includes four short double-helical elements and three loops (D, anti-codon, and T loops).
Source: Rfam by way of RNAcentral
GCCUGGGUGGCUCAGUUGGUUAAGCGUCUGACUUCAACUCAGGUCAUGGUCUCAUGGUUCGUGGGUUUGAGCCCUGCGUCGGGCU